GGAGCCGUGGUGUAGUUGGCUAGCACGUUGGAUUGUCAAUCCAAAGGUCGCGGGUUCAAGUCCCGUCGGUUCCG
Molecule: transfer RNA, 74 nt
Filed under: Acidobacteriota bacterium
Lineage: Bacteria; Pseudomonadati; Acidobacteriota
Also listed under: 1 other name
Description: Acidobacteria bacterium (activated sludge metagenome) tRNA-Asp
Rfam family: tRNA
About the family: Transfer RNA (tRNA) molecules are approximately 80 nucleotides in length. Their secondary structure includes four short double-helical elements and three loops (D, anti-codon, and T loops).
Source: RNAcentral